GAUGAACGCUGGCGGCGUGCUUAACACAUGCAAGUCGAACGGAAAGGCCCAAGCUUGCUUGGGUACUCGAGUGGCGAACGGGUGAGUAACACGUGGGUGAUCUGCCCUGCACUUCGGGAUAAGCCUGGGAAACUGGGUCUAAUACCGGAUAGGACCACAUUUUGGAUGGUGUGGUGGAAAGUUUUUCGGUGUGGGAUGAGCUCGCGGCCUAUCAGCUUGUUGGUGGGGUAAUGGCCUACCAAGGCGUCGACGGGUAGCCGGCCUGAGAGGGUGUACGGCCACAUUGGGACUGAGAUACGGCCCAGACUCCUACGGGAGGCAGCAGUGGGGAAUAUUGCACAAUGGGCGCAAGCCUGAUGCAGCGACGCCGCGGGGGGGAGGACGGCCUUCGGGUUGUAAACUCCUUUCGCUAGGGACGAAGCGUUAUGUGACGGUACCUGGAGAAGAAGCACCGGCUAACUACGUG
RNAcentral lists this ribosomal RNA (466 nucleotides) under uncultured bacterium. RNAcentral describes it as "partial 16S ribosomal RNA". It matches the Rfam family "Bacterial small subunit ribosomal RNA", at positions 28 to 507 of the family's 1533-position model. The record is from RNAcentral.